RNAcentral lists this non-coding RNA (45 nucleotides) under Schistosoma mattheei. The record is from RNAcentral. Lineage: Eukaryota; Metazoa; Platyhelminthes; Trematoda; Strigeidida; Schistosomatidae.
AUCUAGUUGACGAGUCUUAAAUAAGACGGAACAUGCGUCCCGGAU